GAUGAACGCUGGCGGCGUGCUUAACACAUGCAAGUCGAACGAAGCACUGUAUUUGAUUUCCUUCGGGACUGAUUAUUUUGUGACUGAGUGGCGGACGGGUGAGUAACGCGUGGGUAACCUGCCUUGUACAGGGGGAUAACAGUUGGAAACGGCUGCUAAUACCGCAUAAGCGCACAGCAUCGCAUGAUGCCGUGUGGACAACUCCGGUGGUAUAAGAUGGACACUCGUUGGAUUAGCUAGUUGGUGAGGUAACGGCCCACCAAGGCGACGAUCCAUAGCCGACCUGAGAGAGUGACCGGCCACACUGACACUGAGAAGCGGCACAGACUCCUACGGGAUGCAGCAGUGGGUAACAUUGCAAAAUCGGCUAAAGGCUGAUGCAGCUACGCCGCGUGAGCUAAGAAGUAUUUCGGUAUGUAAUGCUCUAGCAGCAGGGAAGAUAAUGACGGUACCUGACCAGGAAGCACCGGCUAAAUACGUG
This 481-nucleotide ribosomal RNA is filed under the name uncultured bacterium. RNAcentral's name for it is "partial 16S ribosomal RNA". It matches the Rfam family "Bacterial small subunit ribosomal RNA", at positions 28 to 507 of the family's 1533-position model. The record is from RNAcentral.